Molecule: long non-coding RNA, 557 nt
Filed under: Sus scrofa (pig)
Lineage: Eukaryota; Metazoa; Chordata; Mammalia; Artiodactyla; Suidae
Description: lncRNA (ENSSSCG00015006602.1)
Source: RNAcentral
CCUCUGCAGGAUAAAAGGGCACAGCAGAAGGAGAGGAAACGAGACGGAAUGAGAUAAUCUACACCACCUCCCACCACGGAGCUAAGUGGAAAGAGGUCGGGCUAAUCAACCUUCUCCUGCACAGUCGCAAACCCAGGAGAAGUCAGCUGAGUCAGAUGCAAGACGGCAGGGGCCGGUCCAGGAGCCGAGUGCACCUCUGGCCACGAGCGCAAGGGGGCGCCAUGGGCUCACAGCGCGCCCGGGCGCCGGAGGGACCGGUAGACCUCGACAGCUCUUCGCGUUCUGCGUUCCCUCUGGAAGCUCUGGGGCUUCGCGGAGCGCUGGGAGGUGAAGAAUUGGCGCCUUUCUCCUUCGCCUUGGACUCAGCAUCGGAAGCCCCCCAGAACAAGCAUGCAGAAUUCCCGCAUUCCCAUUUCAAGGACGUGCAAACAAAGGUUCAGAGAAGUCGUUCUCUUCUGGGGGGCGGGGGCAGGAGCCGCUGGUCCUGUGACUUAUUUGGACAGAAGCCGAUUGGUCUCCUGACGCCAGCAUCAGACUCUUCCUUCCCGGUCCAGUAG